Molecule: microRNA, 22 nt
Filed under: Danio rerio (zebrafish)
Lineage: Eukaryota; Metazoa; Chordata; Actinopteri; Cypriniformes; Danionidae
Also listed under: 1 other name
Description: dre-miR-125b-3-3p
Gene: dre-miR-125b-3-3p
Source: miRBase by way of RNAcentral
ACAGGUUAAGCUCUUGGGACCU